GAUGAACGCUGACAGAAUGCUUAACACAUGCAAGUCAACUUGAACUUCGGUUUGGGUGGCGGACGGGUGAGUAACGCGUAAAGAACUUGCCUCACAGAUAGGGACAACAUUUGGAAACGAAUGCUAAUACCUGAUAUUAUGAUUAUAUGGCAUCGUAUAAUUAUGAAAGCUAUAUGCGCUGUGAGAGAGCUUUGCGUCCCAUUAGCUAGUUGGAGAGGUAACGGCUCACCAAGGCGAUGAUGGGUAGCCGGCCUGAGAGGGUGAUCGGCCACAAGGGGACUGAGACACGGCCCGUACUCCUACGGGAGGCAGCAGUGGGGAAAAUUGGACAAUGGACCAAGAGUCUGAUCCAGGAAUUCCGUGUGCACGAUGAAGUUUUUCGGAAUGUAAAGUGCUUUCAGUUGGGAAGAAAAAAAUGACGGUACCAACAGAAGAAGUGACGGCUAAAUACGUG
Molecule: ribosomal RNA, 454 nt
Filed under: uncultured bacterium
Lineage: Bacteria
Description: partial 16S ribosomal RNA
Rfam family: Bacterial small subunit ribosomal RNA
Source: RNAcentral